AAGCAAUUGAAAAGGAAGGACUAAAAUGCACUAUUUUAAAAGAAAUGAGGGCUUGAAGAAAAUAAUACAUUAAAUGGACCUUGAUUUUGCAUUUUUAUGUGGAAUCAGUCAAUAACCUGUGAGUCUAAAGGUUCAAAUUGAAGAAUAAUAAAUGCAGCCAACUAAAGAAAAGUAAUUGGGCCUCGGUAGGAACUUGAAUUGGAUUCCAAAAGAAAAAGGGUUGCUUUGGGGGCUGACAUAUAUAUACACAGAGACAGAGAGAGACGCAACGGAGGGGGAGAAAACAACACACGCCAACUAGGAUAGAGCAAAUUAAGAAAAAAAGGCUGCUGGAAUUGAAUAGAUACGCAUACAAUUGAGUGGCUUUGGCAGAUUUUUAUAUAUAUACAACACCCACAAUUGGGCGGCAGAAGGAGGACUGAAUUUGUAAGAUAUAUACACAAAAACACAGUUUUGUGGGCUGUUGAAAGAAAAAGGUCGAGGAGUCAACAUUGGCAGCCUACUUGAGUGAAGGAAAUAUAUUAUAUGUACACACGCUUGGCAGCUACUGGACGGAGAUAUAUAAUUACAGUAGGGCGGCUGGAAAUUAAGAAAUCAAGAGGAAUUCAGAUACAUUGAAAACGGAUUCAAGAAGGGAAAAUUAGGAGACAAGAAUUGGGGGCUGCCAUAGUAUAUAUGUUAUAUUCCACGCACAGAAGUCAAGGAAAAUCGUGGAG
This 716-nucleotide long non-coding RNA is filed under the name Olea europaea subsp. europaea. The record is from RNAcentral. Lineage: Eukaryota; Viridiplantae; Streptophyta; Magnoliopsida; Lamiales; Oleaceae.